Molecule: ribosomal RNA, 430 nt
Filed under: Actinomycetes bacterium
Lineage: Bacteria; Bacillati; Actinomycetota; Actinomycetes
Description: Actinobacteria bacterium partial 16S ribosomal RNA
Rfam family: Bacterial small subunit ribosomal RNA
Source: RNAcentral
UAGGGAAUCUUCCGCAAUGGGCGAAAGCCUGACGGAGCAACGCCGCGUGAGUGAUGAAGGUCUUCGGAUCGUAAAACUCUGUUAUUAGGGAAGAACAAAUGUGUAAGUAACUAUGCACGUCUUGACGGUACCUAAUCAGAAAGCCACGGCUAACUACGUGCCAGCAGCCGCGGUAAUACGUAGGUGGCAAGCGUUAUCCGGAAUUAUUGGGCGUAAAGCGCGCGUAGGCGGUUUUUUAAGUCUGAUGUGAAAGCCCACGGCUCAACCGUGGAGGGUCAUUGGAAAACUGGAAAACUUGAGUGCAGAAGAGGAAAGUGGAAUUCCAUGUGUAGCGGUGAAAUGCGCAGAGAUAUGGAGGAACACCAGUGGCGAAGGCGACUUUCUGGUCUGUAACUGACGCUGAUGUGCGAAAGCGUGGGGAUCAAACAGG